AUUGAACGCUGGCGGCAUGCCUUACACAUGCAAGUCGAACGGCAGCAUGGAAGAGCUUGCUCUUCUGAUGGCGAGUGGCGAACGGGUGAGUAAAGCAUCGGAACGUACCGUGUAGUGGGGGAUAACGUAGCGAAAGUUACGCUAAUACCGCAUACGCACUGAGGUGGAAAGCAGGGGAUCGCAAGACCUUGCGCUAUACGAGCGGCCGAUGUCAGAUUAGCUAGUUGGUAGGGUAAAGGCCUACCAAGGCGACGAUCUGUAGCGGGUCUGAGAGGAUGAUCCGCCACACUGGGACUGAUACACGGCCCAGACUCCUACGGGAGGCAGCAGUGGGGAAUUUUGGACAAUGGGGGAAACCCUGAUCCAGCCAUGCCGCGUGAGUGAAGAAGGCCUUCGGGUUGUAAAGCUCUUUCGGCUGGGAAGAAAUCGCACAGGCUAAUACUCUGUGUGGAUGACGGUACCAGCACAAGAAGCACCGGCUAACUACGUGCCAGCCGCCGCCGUAA
Molecule: ribosomal RNA, 506 nt
Filed under: uncultured bacterium
Lineage: Bacteria
Description: partial 16S ribosomal RNA
Rfam family: Bacterial small subunit ribosomal RNA
Source: RNAcentral